CAAAACAACAGUUCCACUUGCAUACACAAACUACACUUCCAGUGUACAGGUCAUAUUGGUACUGACUGAAAACUCAAGGUGACAUCACCAUGAGACAAGUCGUGUUUAUGGCCCAUUCUGCUGACCAGUGGUGCUGUGGAGUGCUACAAGAGACAACACAAG
Long non-coding RNA from Electrophorus electricus (electric eel), 162 nucleotides. RefSeq lists it as uncharacterized. Lineage: Eukaryota; Metazoa; Chordata; Actinopteri; Gymnotiformes; Gymnotidae. The record is from RefSeq and is a predicted model, not a curated record.